Molecule: non-coding RNA, 23 nt
Filed under: Gallus gallus (chicken)
Lineage: Eukaryota; Metazoa; Chordata; Aves; Galliformes; Phasianidae
Also listed under: 1 other name
Source: RNAcentral
UCUGGACUCUGAAUCCAGCGAUC